GACGUAGGUGGCGAGCGUUGUUCGGAAUCACUGGGCAUAAAGCGCACGUAGGCGGCCAAGUCAGUUAGGUGUGAAAUACCUCGGCUCAACCGAGGAACUGCGCCUGAUACUGCUUGGCUUGAGGUCCGGAGGGGAGAGUGGAAUUCCCGGUGGAGCGGUGAAAUGCGUAGAGAUCGGGAAGAACGCCGGCGGCGAAAGCGACUCUCUGGUCGGAAUCUGACGCUGAGGUGCGAAAGCUAGGGGAGCAAACGGG
This 253-nucleotide ribosomal RNA is filed under the name uncultured bacterium. RNAcentral's name for it is "partial 16S ribosomal RNA". It matches the Rfam family "Bacterial small subunit ribosomal RNA", at positions 524 to 776 of the family's 1533-position model. The record is from RNAcentral.